Long non-coding RNA from Zonotrichia leucophrys gambelii, 3860 nucleotides. RefSeq lists it as uncharacterized. Lineage: Eukaryota; Metazoa; Chordata; Aves; Passeriformes; Passerellidae. The record is from RefSeq and is a predicted model, not a curated record. The transcript is spliced from 3 exons.
UUUAAGAAUAUAAUAACAACAGUAUGGGACUUGAGAAAUAUGAAAUACAACAAGAUAUCAUUAAUUGGUGACCCCGAUGUGAUGGAGGUAUGCAGCCUGCGAGCUGUAGCAGCCUGAAGAGCUGUGGAAGAUAGGUGUAGCAGCCUGAGAGCUGUAGGACUGUGGGAAAGGCAGCCUAGAGCUGCAGAGGAACAUAAAAAGGGGGAAAUAUAGUGAGAGCCUCUGUAAAAUCUAUGUAUUGGAUAAGUGGGUCCUAGCUAUUCCAAAUGAGCUACAGCUGUGAAGUCCUUGGUUGGGCAGCAGCUGUAGCUUGUAAAGAUAACUGGGAUAAAAGGGGUGGGCUGAGAGCCCUGGUGGAGCCCCUGUGAAGUCACGAGGAACUGUGCUACAGAGAAGAGCUGCAUGGUAGAAAACCAGCUAGAAGGCAUCCAGGCUGAAAAGAGGACAAACCAUGAGCAACACGAAUCAUGCUGGGAGUAAAGAGAAAGUGUGUGGGAGAGCCCUGGGAGAAAGAGUUUGCUGGGAAUGUGAUCCAGGAAGUAAUAAAGGGAGCACAAGAAGUUGGAGGAUAAGGUUAAGGACAGAGAAGCUGUAAAUAACUGCUGAAGUCUUCAAGGGAUGAAGAAAAAAUGAAGAACAGAAUAAAUUUCUCCUUAGUGCAAAGUGAGAUUCACCGAAUUCGAUGUUGCUAUGGUGAUUUAGACCACCUGAGGACCCAGGUUCAACUGUUUAAGGCAAUGCAUAUAAUUAUUCUUUUUAUUUUCACAAAUAGUUAUUUCAGCCUCUUGCUUAUAUAUAAUGUGUUUUAUAAUUCAGAACUCUGCCACAGUUCAACAGCUGGCUGAGGUAUUUGCAAUAGCAAAAGCAGUAGCAGCCUUGACUGGAAAGGUGCAAAUAAGAAGUGUGUUAUGAAACAAAGGCCCUUUACAACUUAAAUGGCAUCUGAAAAAAAUGUGGUAAUUUAACAGGUAAGUAUAAAAGAGGAGAGAAGUAAAAUGCAGUCUUUAGAAGAUUGGUUUCAUUUGAAAAUUAAAGAAAGGACAGUAACAAAGGAUAGAGAGUUUUGUUAUCCAGCAUAGACAGCAGGGAUCCAAGAAUCCAGCAUUACUAGAAACUUCUACAACUUCUGAUAAGUUAUUUAAACCCCUGUGCUUCUGUUUCACAACUUGCAUAAUUGCUGGAACUAAACUUACCCGAAGGAUGCAUUUUGAGACUUCAGUAAUAAUUCCUAAGUGCUUUCAAAAGCACUACAUCAUGUAAGUGAAGAAUGUCAUUAUUAAAAUUGUGCUUCAGAAAUCAUCACUAACAAGGGUUUGUUAUACAGCUAGAACUGCACCAAAGACAUUAUUAGCUUGCAAAUCACAAAGCUCCCAUUGACUCAGGAGAGCAGCAGGGACAGAGCUGUGCUACAAGGGGAGGGCAGGGACACCCAGCAUGAGAGCAGAGGAGCCAUUGCUGGGCUGGGCAGGGGCAGUGUGGCCAUGCUGAGGUCCCAUGGGCUUGGUGCCCCUUCUGGGACCUCACAGUCACAGUUAUUCUGUUCUCAGGUGGUAUUUUUAGAAGAGGAAUUUGUAUGAGUUUAGAGUUCUGGGACACUUUCCUUUGCAUGGAUGUUGGUUUGGUACAGUCAGUGGCUUCAUGUGAUUGAAAAAAUAUGAUGUGAUGUUCACAUGAUUGAGAAAACCUGUCAAGAGGCAUUUCAGAAGACAGCCAGAGACAAUAUAGAGAGGGAGCUUUAUUUAGGAGCAACGAGGAGUGUAUGUAAAAUUUAGCAGAAACAUUAUGUGAAAAGCAAGCCUGCCUCCAUUCCACUUUGCAGAGAAAGGAAUUAAGGCUGUUAGAAAAGGAGUAUUCUCUAAGAGAACACAGUUUGUUUCCUGUAAACUCUAAUACUCUGAAAUCCUAGCAAAGCUGCUUGGGAGUUGGAACAGCUCUACACAAGUUAUUUCCUCUCUCUAACAUGCUUGUCCCACAUGCAGGACAAAUGUUCCUGUAACCUGCUGCCAGCUUUAUGUAAACACUGAGGUGAGUGAUUGUGUAAUUCGAGGUCACUGGAUGCCACGAGUGCCUGCUAAUGUGAAAAGCUUGUUAGCUGUCUAGAUGUCUGGCAUUGUUUAACCAGCUUUGUCUACCAACUCAGACAGAAAAAUCAUCACCUUCCCCAAAAGAAUCUGAGAAGAGGCAUUGUCUUCUGCAAUAGAUAUGUAAUGUUUGUCUUCCAAGAUCCCAGUAUUUCAAAGCAUCCAAAGUAUGUUGUGCAAAGACUAAGCUUUGUACUUAGUUCAGUCUUUUUUAAACUUCUCUCAUAGCCAAGUAGGGCAAAAAGAGUAUUUUGGAAAAUAAUAUUGAAAAGAUUUAAAAUUCUUCCUCUGGUCUGCAAGUUUCAUCAACAAAGACAGAUGCAACUAAGCCUGAGUUGUAUUUGUAGGGCACAUAUUACAUAUGCAUGAACUGAAAAGCUCACCAAGACACACAACAGUGCUGAGCCAGCUGAAGGGUACAAGUUGAUUUUGAAUCCAGACACAGUUAAAAAUCUAAGUGUUCCCACCUUCUAUGAAAGGUGUUAGGAGCAUUCUUCAACUCAAAAGCUGAAGUUGUUGGUUCAGCACUCUGUCUGCAGCGCAGGUACGUGCCAAACCUUCACAGCCAGCAUGGCUCCUGAGGGAGAUGCAUCACUCUGCCUAAGAACCACAUAUUCCUGCAGACAGCAUGGUUAUAUCCUUGAUUUACCUCUUCCAGGACAGCUUUCUGGAGCAAAUGACAAAUGCUUGCCCUGUGCUCAUAAAUCUUAUCUAAGUUUACUCCAAUUGGUCGCAAUGGAAGUACAUAAACUGCUUCAUUUAACCCUGAUGCAUAGAACACAGCCAGGAUCCAAAGCCAGUUUGGUGUUCUUUUACAAACUAUUUAUUUACCCGUGGUAGAGAUAAAAAUGGGACACUCCACAGGGACUCACUGCUGCUGUUGGGGCCCUUCACCCCCUUCAAGAAAAACCUACUGGUGAAGGUGAAACAAACUACAGAGGAGAUACCAAAGGGACUGUAAACAGAAUGACUGCAAUUAGGCUGAAGUUUUACUUUCAUACAAUCAUAGAGCAUCUUGAGUUGGAAGAAACCUACAAGGAUCAUGGACUCCAACCCCUGUCCUGCACAGGCACCCCAACAAUCCCACCCUGUGCCUGAGAGCACUGACCAAACACUCCUGGAGCUCUGACAGCUUUGGGGCCACAACCAUUCCCUGUAAUUCAAGACCUGGAGUGCUUCCUGUCUCAAACAAGCCAGCACCCACUCCUCAUCACUGCUUCUUUUUGGCUGUCGUGUCCCUUACAAAACCAUAAAGAUUCAUAGAGAAUCCUCUAUUUGUCCAUGCAGAGAAAAGUCUUGAGGGUUAGUCAGAAGAAACAAAAGCUGUUUUCAGGGUGUAUUUCAGAUAAAAUAUAUCAUUGUUUAACUUAAAACAGCUCCUCUUGCCUCAGCCUGGGCCACAGAGUCACUGAUGAGGCUGUGCCCUGGUCAGGUGGUGGCUGGGCCCUGUGCCUCCCUUUAAACCUCCUCCCACCUCCCUGUCCCUUCCCUCCUGCCCCAGCUGCUGCCCCUCAGCCCUGCCAGGCACUGCACAGCACACCAGGGCAUCAGAGCAUCGCUGCUCUAAUAUUUAGAAAUGCCAGAACACUUCUAAGGAAGGUGCAUAAAUACUGGGUGGGUUUGGCUAAAGGCUCUCCCCCAGUGCCCCUUCACAGAAUCUUUCAGGUGAGACACCUUUAAAGCUAGAAAGUGAAGUUUAAAAUAAAAAGUAUUCAUUGUGUUCUGGAGAAAACAAGGCAUAGGAAAGUCACUGCAAUCAAUCCAAACUUCUUCCUGUUA